AUUGAACGCUGGCGGCAGGCCUAACACAUGCAAGUCGAGCGGAUGAAGGGAGCUUGCUCCUGGAUUCAGCGGCGGACGGGUGAGUAAUGCCUAGGAAUCUGCCUGGUAGUGGGGGAUAGCGUCCGGAAACGGGCGCUAAUACCGCAUACGUCCUGAGGGAGAAAGUGGGGGAUCUUCGGACCUCACGCUAUCAGAUGAGCCUAGGUCGGAUUAGCUAGUUGGUGGGGUAAAGGCCUACCAAGGCGACGAUCCGUAACUGGUCUGAGAGGAUGAUCAGUCACACUGGAACUGAGACACGGUCCAGACUCCUACGGGAGGCAGCAGUGGGGAAUAUUGGACAAUGGGCGAAAGCCUGAUCCAGCCAUGCCGCGUGUGUGAAGAAGGUCUUCGGAUUGUAAAGCACUUUAAGUUGGGAGGAAGGGCAGUAAGUUAAUACCUUGCUGUUUUGACGUUACCAACGGAAUAAGCACCGGCUAACUUCGUG
Molecule: ribosomal RNA, 484 nt
Filed under: uncultured bacterium
Lineage: Bacteria
Description: partial 16S ribosomal RNA
Rfam family: Bacterial small subunit ribosomal RNA
Source: RNAcentral